Molecule: ribosomal RNA, 433 nt
Filed under: uncultured bacterium
Lineage: Bacteria
Description: partial 16S ribosomal RNA
Rfam family: Bacterial small subunit ribosomal RNA
Source: RNAcentral
AACGAACGCUGGCGGCAGGCCUAACACAUGCAAGUCGAGCGAGAGCUUCGGGUCUAGCGGCGGACGGGUGAGUAACGCGGGGGGAUAUGCCCUUCUCUCUGGAAUAGCCUCGGGAAACUGAGCGUAAUACCGCAUACGCCCUUUGGGGGAAAGAUUUAACGGAGGAGGAUUAGCCCCCGUUGGAUUAGGUAGUUGGUGGGGUAACGGCCUACCAAUCCGACGAUCCAUAGCUGGUUUGAGAGGAUGAUCAGCCACACUGGGACUGAGACACGGCCCAGACUCCUACGGGAAGCAGCAGUGGGGAAUCUUAGACAAUGGGGGCAACCCUGAUCGAGCCAUGCCGCGUGAGUGAUGAAGGCCUUAGGGUUGUAAAGCUCUUUCAGCUGGGAAGAUAAUGACGGUACCAGCAGAAGAAGCCCCGGCUAACUCCGUG